GAUGAACGCUGGCGGCGUGCCUAAUACAUGCAAGUCGAGCGAACAGACGAGGAGCUUGCUCCUCUGACGUUAGCGGCGGACGGGUGAGUAACACGUGGAUAACCUACCUAUAAGACUGGGAUAACUUCGGGAAACCGGAGCUAAUACCGGAUAAUAUAUUGAACCGCAUGGUUCAAUAGUGAAAGACGGUUUUGCUGUCACUUAUAGAUGGAUCCGCGCCGCAUUAGCUAGUUGGUAAGGUAACGGCUUACCAAGGCAACGAUGCGUAGCCGACCUGAGAGGGUGAUCGGCCACACUGGAACUGAGACACGGUCCAGACUCCUACGGGAGGCAGCAGUAGGGAAUCUUCCGCAAUGGGCGAAAGCUUUACGGAGCAACGCCGCGUGAGUGAUGAAGGUCUUCGGAUCGUAAAGCUCUGUUAUUAGGGAAGAACAAAUGUGUAAGUAACUAUGCACGUCUUGACGGUACCUAAUCAGAAAGCCACGGCUAACUACGUG
RNAcentral lists this ribosomal RNA (497 nucleotides) under uncultured bacterium. RNAcentral's name for it is "partial 16S ribosomal RNA". It matches the Rfam family "Bacterial small subunit ribosomal RNA", at positions 28 to 507 of the family's 1533-position model. The record is from RNAcentral.